Molecule: ribosomal RNA, 425 nt
Filed under: uncultured bacterium
Lineage: Bacteria
Description: partial 16S ribosomal RNA
Rfam family: Bacterial small subunit ribosomal RNA
Source: RNAcentral
GUGGGGAAUAUUGGACAAUGGGCGCAAGCCUGAUCCAGCCAUGCCGCGUGAGUGAUGAAGGCCUUAGGGUUGUAAAGCUCUUUUGUCCGGGAAGAUAAUGACUGUACCGGAAGAAUAAGCCCCGGCUAACUUCGUGCCAGCAGCCGCGGUAAUACGAAGGGGACUAGCGUUGUUCGGAAUCACUGGGCGUAAAGCGCACGUAGGCGGACCAUUAAGUCAGGGGUGAAAGCCUGGAGCUCAACUCCAGAACUGCCUUUGAUACUGAUGGUCUCGAGUAUGGAAGAGGUUGGUGGAACUGCGAGUGUAGAGGUGAAAUUCGUAGAUAUUCGCAAGAACACCGGUGGCGAAGGCGGCCAACUGGUCCAUUACUGACGCUGAGGUGCGAAAGCGUGGGGAGCAAACAGGAUUAGAAACCCUGGUAGUCC